AGAGUUUGAUCAUGGCUCAGAUUGAACGCUGGCGGAAUGCUUUACACAUGCAAGUCGAACGGCAGCACGGGGCAACCUGGUGGCGAGUGGCGAACGGGUGAGUAAUACAUCGGAACGUGCCCAAUCGUGGGGGAUAACGUAGCGAAAGUUACGCUAAUACCGCAUACGAUCUACGGAUGAAAGCGGGGGAUCGCAAGACCUCGCGCGAAUGGAGCGGCCGAUGUCAGAUUAGGUAGUUGGUGGGGUAAAGGCUCACCAAGCCAACGAUCUGUAGCUGGUCUGAGAGGACGACCAGCCACACUGGAACUGAGACACGGUCCAGACUCCUACGGGAGGCAGCAGUGGGGAAUUUUGGACAAUGGGCGCAAGCCUGAUCCAGCCAUUCCGCGUGCAGGAUGAAGGCCUUCGGGUUGUAAACUGCUUUUGUACGGAACGAAGAGGUCCUGGUUAAUACCUGGGGCUCAUGACGGUACCAUAAGAAUAAGCACCGGCUAACUACGUG
Molecule: ribosomal RNA, 502 nt
Filed under: uncultured bacterium
Lineage: Bacteria
Description: bacterial SSU rRNA
Rfam family: Bacterial small subunit ribosomal RNA
Source: RNAcentral